This is a long non-coding RNA of Armigeres subalbatus, 614 nucleotides long. RefSeq lists it as uncharacterized. NCBI's taxonomy places the organism in Eukaryota, Metazoa, Arthropoda, Insecta, Diptera, Culicidae. The transcript has 3 exons. The record is from RefSeq and is a predicted model, not a curated record.
GCAAGCGCAGCCUUACGCUUCCUAUUUCGAUUGGUUUUUUAAGCAUCUAAGUAAAAAGUGGACGGAUUAUCACCAAUUUCACUUUCAUGAAAAUAAACUAUUUACAAUAGGCCCAAAAUAAAUCCAUAAAGGCGUAAAAGGUUCAAGUGUCUAUAGAGAUGGAAUACUCAACUAUUUGGAUAAAUCGAGUGUGAAGCUUUAAACAUUAUGGUUUUGUUCAAAAUUUAAGUUGUUAGCCGCUAUCCCUUACUAGACAAAAUCUUCAAAGAAAAAGCAACGAGGAAGUGCCAAAAUGUUUCUCUUACAAGACUGAGUUUGCGAGUGCGAAACAAGAAAAUCAGAUUUCCUUCGACCGACACCGGGCGGUUUCACAACUGUGAACUAAGCGAGAAAAGCUUAACUAAACAGUAUCAUCAACAUUAGUGGUUAAAUGUACCACUACGAAGCAAGACCAUACUGUCAACAGCAUCAGAGUAAUCAUCAUACUAGCCUCAUAAUAAACUAAUGCAAAAAUGGGAACUUGACUUAGAAACAUUGCGGUAGAUAACUGUGGAAGUGGUUAAUGAAAAAUAAGCUGCAAAGCGGCAAUGACCCAGUAAUGGUAAAGAUUCCAA